GAACAUCACCGAAAAUAGCGCCGAAUUUGCUAACAAGGUUGGUCGAUUUUUUCAAGCCGUCGCGCAGUGUACCUAGAAGUACACGAGCAACGGAAGUUAAAAAAUCGGGCAAGAUUGAACGCAAAGGCAAGCGGGACAUUUGAGGAUGGGGUGACUGCGUACCUUUUGUAUAAUGGGUCAGCGACUUAUAUUCUGUAGCAAGGUUAACCGCAUAGGGGAGCCGUAGGGAAACCGAGUCUUAACUGGGCGAAUGAGUUGCAGGGUAUAGACCC
RNAcentral lists this ribosomal RNA (272 nucleotides) under Proteus mirabilis. Its description in RNAcentral is "partial 23S ribosomal RNA". The stretch from base 130 to 272 matches the Rfam family "Bacterial large subunit ribosomal RNA", at positions 572 to 716 of the family's 2925-position model. The record is from RNAcentral. Lineage: Bacteria; Pseudomonadati; Pseudomonadota; Gammaproteobacteria; Enterobacterales; Morganellaceae.